UCUAAGGAUGAAUGAAAUGAAAAUUUCAUUCUAAAUAAUAUACAGGUAAUGUUGACCGUCCUCAUUUCUCUUCUUAAAGUAGUGUUUCUCUUGCAUGGGGGCCGGUAGCUCAGUUGGUUAGAGCACACCCUUGAUAAGGGUGGGGUCGAAAGUUCGAGUCUUUCUCGGCCCACCAAUUUAAGAUCAUGGGGGAUUAGCUCAGCUGGGAGAGCGCCUGAUUUGCAUUCAGGAGGUCAGCGGUUCGAUCCCGCUAUCCUCCACCAAAACACUUAGUUAUAAAAAUUCGUGAAUGAAAUAAUUAUUAAUAUCAAUAUCUAUAUCCGAACAUUAGUAAUAUUAUAAUCUAAUGUUCAAAUAAAAAUUUGAUUCAACACAGAAUUUUUUUCUGUGCAUAAAU
This 397-nucleotide transfer RNA is filed under the name uncultured marine alpha proteobacterium. RNAcentral describes it as "16S-23S intergenic spacer region". The stretch from base 99 to 172 matches the Rfam family "tRNA". The record is from RNAcentral. Lineage: Bacteria; Pseudomonadati; Pseudomonadota; Alphaproteobacteria.